RNAcentral lists this long non-coding RNA (967 nucleotides) under Homo sapiens (human). RNAcentral describes it as "HSALNT0372213". Lineage: Eukaryota; Metazoa; Chordata; Mammalia; Primates; Hominidae. The record is from RNAcentral.
UUGUCUUCCCGAGUAGCUGCUCCAUUCCCGGCAUAGAGGAUCAGGAGAGGGGACGCCACCUGCCACACGCUGGAUGCUGGGGUCCGCACGACUGCGGCUUGUGUCGCUGUGGUUGGUGGUGGUGAUGGAAACUGCAGCGUGGCUGGAGUGCAGAAGAGAAACUGUCUUUAAAAUCUGUCUGCCUGGAUAAACUCAAAGGAGCCUUUACAGAAAGCACAUUCACACAGACUGGCUAAUGAGACCCCACACUGAAGAAGCCUAGAACUUCCACAGACUCCCUGAAAUCUAAGUCCUCAUUUUUAACAUACAGCUUUUAAUACUAGCUUCAGAAGUCCCGGAUCCCUGCAAAGCAACAAUGAACCAUUUCUUGAUUGGAUUGUGAUGUGACGAAAAGUGGAUUUUAUACGACAACCGGCAAUGACCAGCUCAGUGGUUGGACCAAGAAGACGCUCCAAGGCACUUCCCAAAGCCAAACUUGCACCAAAAAAGGUUAUGGUCACUAUUUGGUGGUCGUCGGCUCGUCUGAUCCACUGCAGCUUUCUGAAUGCCAGUGAAACCAUUGCCUCUGAGGAGUGUACUCAGCAAAUUGAUGACAUGCACUGAAAACUCCAGCGCCUGCAGGCAGCAUUGAUCAACAGAAAAGCCCAAUUCUUCUUCAUGACAGCACCUGACCACAUGUCACACAACUCACGCUUUAAAAGUUGAACAAAUUGGGCUACGAAGUUUCACCUCAUCUGCCGUAUUCACCUGAUCUCUCGCCAACUGACUACUACUUAUUCGAGCAUCUUGACAACUCUUUGCAGGGAAAAUGCUUUCAGGACCAGCAGGAUGCAGAAAAUGCUUUCAAGAGUUUAUUGAAUCCUGAAGAAUGGAUUUUUACACUAUAGAAAUAAACAGACUGGGCGCAGUGGCUCACGCCUGUAAUCUCAGCACUUUGGGAGGCCAAGGCAGCCAGAUCACCUGAGGU